UUUGUUUCUUUUUCUGAAAUACAGAUCUCAUUUUCCCCUGGUUGUUUCCUCCCCACCAGCAGCUCAAAGAGCCAACUGUGUGUUACAUUAAGCCCAUGCUUCAAGUUAGCAGUGUUUCAACAGCUUUCAGUUGCAGAUCUGAGCAUGCUGAUGACUAAGAGCUUCCAAGAGCCCCUGCAUACAUGCUGUCUUCUUUCUCCCUUGGGAAUCAGAGGAUACUGGGUGGGUGCAGAUCCAGACCCGGGACUGGUGCAGCUCACUUGUCUCCAACUCCUUUUACACCAUCAAUACCCAGAUACCCAUAGAAAACACCUGGGCUGCUAAAUCCCUCACCAGGAUGGAGAAAAGGAGCCUGUAUGAUGUUCAAGGCUUGGAGAGCUUUCACACCUCA
This is a long non-coding RNA of Pogoniulus pusillus (Red-fronted tinkerbird), 391 nucleotides long. RefSeq lists it as uncharacterized. NCBI's taxonomy places the organism in Eukaryota, Metazoa, Chordata, Aves, Piciformes, Lybiidae. The transcript is spliced from 3 exons. The record is from RefSeq and is a predicted model, not a curated record.